GGAGCACCACACCAUAUGUCUAUCAUGCUGUCAACAAUGAACUUGAGGAUCUUACAAAUGGCACCUCCAAAACUGAACAUCUGGCAGUUGUUCUCCCCUGAACUGGGCAGUAACAAUUCUCCAGAACAUUCCGGGACUACAGCACAGACUACAGAAAAUUAGUACCGAUACAGUGGCUUGACUUGGUGUGGAGAUUAUUGUGCCCCAAAGCUCCUUGAAAGUUCAUCCAACUUGUGGAUGACAUUCAGAAAUGUCUAGUAAUGGCAAACAGUGGAUUUUCCAGCACUUCUCCAUUUUGCUCAAUAGUUUGGGCAGCACUUGAAAAGUUGCUUCUGUUGUAAGUAAACCUCAGCAUCAUUUAUUCUUUCCCUGGCUA
Long non-coding RNA from Cyanistes caeruleus (blue tit), 376 nucleotides. RefSeq lists it as uncharacterized. Lineage: Eukaryota; Metazoa; Chordata; Aves; Passeriformes; Paridae. The record is from RefSeq and is a predicted model, not a curated record.